Molecule: ribosomal RNA, 255 nt
Filed under: uncultured bacterium
Lineage: Bacteria
Description: partial 16S ribosomal RNA
Rfam family: Bacterial small subunit ribosomal RNA
Source: RNAcentral
UACGGAGGGGGCGAGCGUUGUCCGAAUUUAUUGGGCGUAAAGCGCGUGUAGGCGGACCUACAAGCCUUUGGUGAAAUCCUGGAGCUCAACUCCAGAACUGCCUUCGAUACUGGAGAGCUCGAGUCCGGGAGAGGUGAGUGGAACUGCGAGUGUAGAGGUGAAAUUCGUAGAUAUUCGCAAGAACACCAGUGGCGAAGGCGGCUCACUGGCCCGAUACUGACGCUGAGGCACGAAAGCGUGGGGAGCAAACAGGGA